Long non-coding RNA from Clupea harengus (Atlantic herring), 1445 nucleotides. The record is from Ensembl. Lineage: Eukaryota; Metazoa; Chordata; Actinopteri; Clupeiformes; Clupeidae.
CAUGGAGGAACGCAGCGGCCGAGAUGGAGCAUAAUCCUGUAUGAUUGAGUUCAAAUCGAUGGGUGCAGACCCAGAAGUCAGUCUGCAGUCAAGCAUUGGUGACUUGAAUUGGAUUCAGGUGGCCGUGGCCAGCGGUGGUCAGCAGGGGCUGUAGUGACGUGACGAGACGGAACCGUACGCGCUGCCGCAUGCUGCGAGACCCGCUAGGAGGGCAUUGCAGUAGACAAGGCGGGAGAUAACCAUGGUCUGCACUGAGAGUUGGCUUGAUUUGUCUCAUGUUGUAUAGAGACACGACCGGAAGAAAACAUGCAACAUCGUCAGACAAGGAUAGCUGAUCAUAGCGCAACCUUGGUUGGGGUCAUGGCCAUCAGUUUGGUUUGAUAAAUGCCAGAGACAGACAUGGGUGUAGUUUGAUUUAAUAAGUGCUGUGGACAUAGAUGGAAUUUUCCAGGUUCCUACCGGUGGUCACUGGGCUAUUGCAUGCCUGCCUCUGUUAUGAGGCGUUUCCAAAUACAAAUACCUGUGAAUAUUUCAUGCCCACCUAAAAAUCAAACUCCAAACAUUUGGUUUUAGGAUUUACACACACAAAGAAGAUAUGAUUCCCUUUUUUAUUAAAGAGUCACAUCGACAAGUCAUAUCAUAGCAGUCAAAAGUUAGACAGUUCAAAUUCUCUUGUAUAAAUGACUCUUUCAAUACAUUAGAAAACAAAACUCAGGGUAAAAAUAUAAAACAAAAAAAAAGGAGAGACAAAAAGAAAAACCAAACAAACAUCUAUUUUAGCGGCGUAGCCAGGUGAGCCCUCAGAGAGACACAGUGUCCCCCAGUGGCUGGAGGAGUGUCUCUCGUCUUCAGCUCGCCAUCUAAGAGCCCAGUAAUGCAGACAACAGAGAGAGUGAGUGUGUGUGUGUGGGGUGGACUCGCUCACAGCCUGUCAGCGGCCGAAUGCAACACGAAUACUCUUGAGGUAAAUCAUAAGGGGAGGAGAAAGAAAAGCAAAAACAUUCAAAUGACAGGCCCUUCACAUGUUUGCACUUUCAGGACCACACGUCACAUUAGUUUCUUUACAGUUCAAAGAAAUGAUUCAUUAAACGGCUCCAGUGAGAUCCACUCACAAAAAAAAAAAAAAAAAAAACUUCACCUUUUCUUUUUUUAAACUGGAUGAAGGACAUUAAAUCACUGCUUAUAGAUGGUGUAGAUUAAUAUUAAUAUAAAUCUUAAAUCUUGAGACCUGAGAUGGGACCUGAAUCUGAACCAGGUCUGGGUGGGUUCAGAGUCCGGUUCUAUCUAGGAUGGGAGAACUGACAGGAACCUGAGUACAGACAGAGAUACUCUGAUCCGAGCCGAGGAAACUUGGGAUCCCCCAGCCUAUAAACCAUCUCAUGACUGCAGGGGAGAACUGUGUGUGUGUAUGCGUGUGUGUGUGUGGUGGUCUUACUGAGACACAC